AGCGAACGCUGGCGGCAGGCCUAACACAUGCAAGUCGAACGAACCUUUCGGGGUUAGUGGCGGACGGGUGAGUAACACGUGGGAACGUGCCUUUAGGUUCGGAAUAACUCAGGGAAACUUGUGCUAAUACCGAAUGUGCCCUUCGGGGGAAAGAUUUAUCGCCUUUAGAGCGGCCCGCGUCUGAUUAGCUAGUUGGUUGAGGUAAUGGCUCACCAAGGCGACGAUCAGUAGCUGGUCUGAGAGGAUGAUCAGCCACAUUGGGACUGAGACACGGCCCAAACUCCUACGGGAGGCAGCAGUGGGGAAUCUUGCGCAAUGGGCGAAAGCCUGACGUAACCAUGCCGCGUGAAUGAUGAAGGUCUUAGGAUUGUAAAAUUCUUUCACCGGGGACGAUAAUGACGGUACCCGGAGAAGAAGCCCCGGCUAACUUCGUG
Molecule: ribosomal RNA, 434 nt
Filed under: uncultured bacterium
Lineage: Bacteria
Description: partial 16S ribosomal RNA
Rfam family: Bacterial small subunit ribosomal RNA
Source: RNAcentral